GGGCCAGUAGCUCAGCUUGGACAGAGCGACUGUCAAAAGCUGUAGGUCGUGGGUUCGAAUCCCCCCUGGCCCG
RNAcentral lists this transfer RNA (73 nucleotides) under archaeon. Its description in RNAcentral is "tRNA-Phe". It matches the Rfam family "tRNA". Rfam says of the family: Transfer RNA (tRNA) molecules are approximately 80 nucleotides in length. Their secondary structure includes four short double-helical elements and three loops (D, anti-codon, and T loops). Further hydrogen bonds mediate the characteristic L-shaped molecular structure. tRNAs have two regions of fundamental functional importance: the anti-codon, which is responsible for specific mRNA codon recognition, and the 3' end, to which the tRNAs corresponding amino acid is attached (by aminoacyl-tRNA synthetases). tRNAs cope with the degeneracy of the genetic code in two manners: having more than one tRNA (with a specific anti-codon) for a particular amino acid; and 'wobble' base-pairing, i.e. permitting non-standard base-pairing at the 3rd anti-codon position. The record is from RNAcentral.